Zootermopsis nevadensis is the source of this 978-nucleotide long non-coding RNA. RefSeq lists it as uncharacterized. The record is from RefSeq and is a predicted model, not a curated record. Lineage: Eukaryota; Metazoa; Arthropoda; Insecta; Blattodea; Termopsidae.
GAAACGAAAUAUAAGAUUUUGGAGACGAAAUGAUAUUUUGAACUGUGUGUGUUUUAUUGUAAUACUUCUUUUGCUGCAAGGUAUUUCAACUCUGGGACAUCUUCGGGGUAUUUCUCCGAGGUGGGAUCCCGUCGAGAUACGUAAUCAUCUAUUUCUGUGCCAAACAAUGGCACUAGCGUCAAUGUCGAACAUUACUGGAUGAAGAUGGGAUGGAAUGGUGACAUUUCAGGUUCUCACGUCGGCGAGUAUGAAGAUGGCUGUCUUCUGAGAUGCCUUUCCGUGUAGUCCGGUAGAAACUGGUCGACUUCUUUUUGAGAUGUUUACUGCCUCGCCAUCAGGACACAGGACAAGACACAAGGACAACAUACAUUAUUAUAUAAGACUUUUGGCCUGAAAGCUGUACUCAGGCAACAUGGGGAUUAGCAGUCGCUUCCGCUAUCCUUUGGAGUCCGUAACUUCCGUGUUUUUCUUUCAGGAUGUGCAGCGAGCAACAAGGAAGUAGCAUUAUUACAGUCUGUAAUCGUAAGCUCUCAAAAUCAGCAAAGUAUUUCCUUUGUUCUCAGAGGUUUUCUAUACAGUCUGCCACUAUAAUACAACACAAGUGUUUUCCUUACACAACACUAAGCCUAUUCGAGAAUUUUGUCUUAUUAACUCUGUGGUAGAGUUCUUGAGCAGCUAAAAGUCGCUAAGUUGUUGGAAUACAUUUUCCGUUGUUUAUGUAAGACGAAAAUUCGUUCUCAUAUUCACAAGAGACCACCACCUCGACCUGCUUAAAGCCAAAUGAAUUUGGUCCACAUCCUUAAGCCAUAUUUCUAUAAAAUCCCUUUUUAGGUAUUCUUCACACCUUAUGGUCCCGUUCAUGUCUGCCUGUCACGUUCUUUGCAGAAAUAACGGAAUCUACAACAUAAGGUCAUUGUUGAGGCACACUGUCGAUUUUCUUUGCUUUCUUCAGGUAAAUAAAGAGCUAGUCCACUGAAA